This 253-nucleotide ribosomal RNA is filed under the name uncultured prokaryote. RNAcentral's name for it is "partial 16S ribosomal RNA". It matches the Rfam family "Bacterial small subunit ribosomal RNA", at positions 524 to 776 of the family's 1533-position model. The record is from RNAcentral.
UACGUAGGUGGCAAGCGUUGUUCGGAAUUACUGGGCGUAAAGGGCGCGUAGGCGGCCCUCUAAGUCAGACGUGAAAUCCCUCGGCUCAACCGGGGAACUGCGUCUGAGACUGGAAGGCUUGAAUUCGGGAGAGGGAUGUGGAAUUCCAGGUGUAGCGGUGAAAUGCGUAGAUAUCUGGAGGAACACCGGUGGCGAAGGCGGCAUCCUGGACCGAGAUUGACGCUGAUGCGCGAAAGCCAGGGGAGCAAACGGG